AUGCAUGAAGUUAAAGGAUGUUUCUGCAAAACUAGCAAAACUCUGGAUAAUAGUCAAAAUCGUCUAGAGGAAAAGAACAUGACAUGGGCCAAAACUGCUGGUCCAGGUGCACAGGAGACUGGAGGGAGGGCCUGCUCACCCACGGGCCAUGGCCCAGGUCGGCACAGCAGAGGAGGAGAAGGGUCGGCCCAGGGAACGGAGGGCGCUGCUGGAGCCGGGGCGAGGCCGGCCCACACACGUGCAAGGGAGGCAGCCCAGGCGAUGCUCGUCCUCUGCUCGACAGAGCCAGAACGGCGGCGCUGA
This 303-nucleotide ribosomal RNA is filed under the name Triticum aestivum (bread wheat). RNAcentral's name for it is "partial small subunit ribosomal RNA". Lineage: Eukaryota; Viridiplantae; Streptophyta; Magnoliopsida; Poales; Poaceae. The record is from RNAcentral.